Molecule: long non-coding RNA, 2805 nt
Organism: Equus caballus (horse)
Lineage: Eukaryota; Metazoa; Chordata; Mammalia; Perissodactyla; Equidae
Source: RefSeq, a predicted model, not a curated record
CUCUAGCAAGAAAAUAUUUAAUUAUUUGUUACUUCUUGAGGUCCUAAGGUUUUAUGAACAACCCAAGGUGUCAUUAAGUCAAUUUAACUUGGUAGGUUUUCUUUAAAUAGUUCUGCCCAAAAGAUUUUUAAAAAUUCAUCUGCUUAUCUUAAUGCUGUUAUCUUCAUAUCUCAAAGACUUAAGUAGUACUUUAUGAAAUCUUUUGCCAGAUUAUAAUAGUGGUUUUGGUUUGCAUUUUUUUUAAAAAAAAAGGACAAGAAAGGACAGUUAUUUGACCCUUGUAGUUUUUCUCUGAUUAAUGUCAUCCACAAAGGACUCAUUCACACUUUCCUCUGUACUUCUGGAAAGUUACAUGUCUGGAAUGUGGAGAAAAAUAAGAAUUGAAUCUCAUGUUAGAGACCUCAUAACUCUUAGAAUAAGGAUCUACAACAACUCUGGCUAUCUUGAGACUUAACCAGAGAAAUGUGUUUUAACAAUACUAAUUAAGUGAGGGAUGCUCCCUCAAUAAAGUGACUACCAGAUUUCAACAUGAUUUUGCUUUUUGACUUUUGGCUAUAUUAAAAAAUACUCAAACGUAAACAAUAAAAUACCAGAGAUUUUCUCAAAUAUAUAAUUACUAAUUAUAUUUUUAGGAUUUCUACCCCCUUCUGUCAAAGUCAUGUUCAAAUUAUUUUGACUGUUUGCUUUUUAGACUGAACAGUUUCCUUGAGUCUGUUUUUUAGAAGAACAUUGUUUAAGUGGCUGUGUUACAAUAGAUUACCCGGAGUCUAAUCCCUAGUGUUACGUCCAGUAUUACAGCACACUGAAAUGACCUACAUUAUCUAGGGAGAAUUUUCACAUUAUUUAAUUAAAUCUACUAUUCCAGAGGCUGACAACGUGAGAAAUAGAGUGGUGUAAAACACAGAAACUCCUUUCAUAAAUAGCCCACAUAGACUUUGAAGCUCUGAUGAAAUGAAGUUGCGGACAUGAUGCCCCUCUACUCUGAAUACCUCCAUAUGUUUCAAUAAAUACAUCCAAUAUCUCAAAAACAAGUGCAUUCUCUUAUAUAGCCACAUGGUCAAAAUCCAGAAAUUAAUACUAUUAGAAAGUCAUUAUUUAAUGCCACUGAUUACGGAAGAAACCUGGUUGUUUAAAGCAUGGACUCUGAGCCAGACUGGUUGGAUUUGAAUCCUGGCUCAACUGUGAUUGGGGGAAGUCAGUCAAGGAGAAACAUAAUAACAAUACCUACCUUAUAGGGUUGUGCAGAUUAAAGUAAUUAACAAAUAUAAAGCCUUUUGGCCAGUGCUGGCGUGUAAGGAAUGCUUCGUAAGAACUGUUUGUUGGCACAAUUUACUGAUCAGGCCAUCCUUUCCACACUGAUAGGAAAUACCACCUUUAUCAUAUAAUGAGCCCUUGGGUCUAUCGCUAGGCUUUGAUUAGUUCCCUUACUCUGGCUUCCAUCAGUACCACAACACUUUAAUAGUUACAGCUUUAUAAAUAUACAUAGAUACAUACUUAUGUAUAUUUAUAAAUAUACAUAUUUAUAAAUACAAAUAUACAAAGAUACAGAUGAUAUCUGACAUCUUAUUGAUCUUUUAAAAAUUUUAUUGGCUAUUUAACUUUCUCUCUGAGAUAAACUUAAGAAUAACUUUGUUCCAAAAGAAGAAUAUGUGAUUCUGAUUAGAUUCUGAUUAGAAUUACAUUAUAAAUUAAUUUGGGGAAAAUUGACAUCUUAAGUCACAAUGCUAUCUUCUGACAGGAACAGGGUAUUUCUCUCCAUGUAGGCACACCCUCAUGUUCCUCAGUAAACUUUUGAAGUUUUCCUCAUGUAGGUCCCUGAAGUUUAAUCUUAGAUAUUUCAUAUUUUCAUUAUCAGUAUGUCUAGGAUAAUUUAGUCUUUUACAUAUUCUAACUGGUUAUUACUGGCAUUUAUUUAAGCUACUGAUUUUCAUAAAUGUAUUUUAAAAUCUCCUACCUUUCAGGACUCCAGUUCUAACAGGCAUGCAGGUAAUUCUUGAAUUUUUGAGGUAGAUGAUUAUUUCAUCUGGAAAUGUAUGACUUUUUGAUGUUGAGAAGAUUUUAGCUUUGCACAUAGUCAAAAUAUGUUGAUGUUUUUCUGUCUUCUUCUGAUUGCUUCCAAGCAUAGACAAUGUCCCCACACUCCCAUUCAGAGUACUCAUAAAUGUUUCAUUAUAAAUCUUCAAGUUUUUUGUAAUUUUAGUGUUUUAUGUAAAAUUCAUGGAACCAACUAGAAUUUAUUCUGAUACAUGAUAUGAAAUAAGUGUGAAACUCUACCCUCAAAUACUAACAAUACUGUUUAUUGACUAGUUCUCCACUUUCUUAUUGAUUUACAAUUCUUCCCUUAUAUAAUAAAUAAGCUUUGUCUCCGCCUCAUCAUGGAUCCAUUUUCCUAAAUGUAAGCAAAACAGAAUCUACACCAAGAGAUUUUUGUCAUGUUUCCAUAUGUGGUUAGGCUAGAUUCUCUCAAGAUUUUUUCUAGCAAUUCCUUUUACAGUCUCCUUUUUAUUCAUCCCAAUGGGCUUAAGAAUUGUUUUGUUAAGUUAACCAAAUUCUAUUACAACUUGAAGCUACAUUGCAUUAAAUAUGUAAACCAACAGGAAGAAUUAAUAUCUUUAUUAAUCUUACCAUCCAGGAAUGCUGUUUCUCCAUGUUUAUUUAAAUUUCUAUUAAUUUAUCAAUAACAUUUCAUAAUUUUCAUUCAAUAAGUAUCACACAUUUAUUUUAGGAUUACUCCUGUAAAUUUUUCUAUUUGUGUGUGGUGUGAUUUUUAAAACAUGAAUAUUAAAAAUUAAGGAUUUACAUUUA